Long non-coding RNA from Drosophila serrata, 1091 nucleotides. NCBI's taxonomy places the organism in Eukaryota, Metazoa, Arthropoda, Insecta, Diptera, Drosophilidae. The record is from RefSeq and is a predicted model, not a curated record.
CUUUGGAAUUAGCAUUUGUUUUCAGCAAACGAGGAGCGUGGAGUUGUGAGCGAUUGAGUGCUAUUCUGAUUAGAAAUUCACAGUGGAUACUUUGGAGUGUGGCUGCGCUUUUUCCUCCAUUUCCGGUACUUACUCUUUCUGCCAGCCGCGGGUGGUCGUGGUCCCUCUUUGUUGUCCUCUCUUAACUGGGUGACACUUAACGAAGUGUGAAUAUCUGGAUGGAGUGAUAAUCCCCGACGAACCGUUAAAGUCAAGCGAACAAACAACAGUGACUGAGAGAGAGUGGCUCGAUCAAUUCAAUGGCAGCAGAAACUUCUCUCGCAGCUGGCGCAGGCAGAAGCAGUGACUCCGACUGCGACUGCGACGGCGACGUCAGCCGGAAGCAGGGGAGUCAGAAGCAGAAGCAGAAGCCGAACCCGGAGCAGGGAAUGAAGCAAAGAAAUGCGGGCGGGCAAAGACAUUACACACACAUGCACACACAGUCACCGCCAUCAUCAUCAUCAUCAUCAGCUACCGAUAAAGGCGGGCUCCUGCCUGGCUCUCCUCCUCAUCUUCAGCUCCAUGCCUUAGUCAAUAACAAACUAAUGAGCCUUGGCGGCGUCGAUGCGUAUGCUUUAUUGCUUUAUUUUGCUGCCAUUCACACAAUGACCCCACAUGCAACAGCAACAGAAACAGAAGCAGAAGCAGCGGGGGGAAUAAACAAUAUGCACACAUAAUGCACAAACACAUGCACGGGGGGACAAAGAAAGAAAGAAUGAAAGAAGGCGUGAAGAAUCACCGAAAUAUUUAGCCCCGCUUUUAUGGUGUAAUAUUGAACGGAUUUCUUGUAUUGUUAUUUAAUUAUCGCCCUUGGAUGGGAAAGUAAUUGUGCACCAAAGACUCUGCCAUAUAUAGCGGUACUUGUAAUGCCACCACUACUCCACUUCAAUCUACGCCACUCCAAUUCAAGAUAAAUCGCUGCUGUGGUCCCGAGGUUAAUGGAACUCUGCUCCUUCUAAUAGAUGCAGUUCUCAUAAAAAAAAUGGAUUCAACUUGCCCUUCAGUUGGAAAAUACUUCCACGGAUUUAUAGGCAGUUAAUUUCUAUAAUUAA